RNAcentral lists this ribosomal RNA (223 nucleotides) under uncultured bacterium. Its description in RNAcentral is "partial 16S ribosomal RNA". It matches the Rfam family "Bacterial small subunit ribosomal RNA", at positions 326 to 539 of the family's 1533-position model. The record is from RNAcentral.
ACGCUCGACACCUACGGUAGGCAGCAGUAGGGAAUCUUCCACAAUGGACGCAAGUCUGAUGGAGCAACGCCGCGUGAGUGAAGAAGGUCUUCGGAUCGUAAAACUCUGUUGUUAGAGAAGAACACGAGUGAGAGUAACUGUUCAUUCGAUGACGGUAUCUAACCAGCAAGUCACGGCUAACUACGUGCUAGCAGCCGCGGUAAUCUGAGCGGGCUGGCAAGGC